This 497-nucleotide ribosomal RNA is filed under the name uncultured bacterium. Its description in RNAcentral is "partial 16S ribosomal RNA". It matches the Rfam family "Bacterial small subunit ribosomal RNA", at positions 28 to 507 of the family's 1533-position model. The record is from RNAcentral.
GAUGAACGCUGGCGGCGUGCCUAAUACAUGCAAGUCGAGCGAACGGACGAGAAGCUUGCUUCUCUGAUGUUAGCGGCGGACGGGUGAGUAACACGUGGAUAACCUACCUAUAAGACUGGGAUAACUUCGGGAAACCGGAGCUAAUACCGGGUAAUAUUUUGAACCGCAUGGUUCAAAAGUGAAAGACGGUCUUGCUGUCACUUAUAGAUGGAUCCGCGCUGCAUUAGCUAGUUGGUAAGGUAACGGCUUACCGAGGCAACGAUGCAUAGCCGACCUGAGAGGGUGAUCGGCCACACUGGAACUGAGACACGGUCCAGACUCCUACGGGAGGCAGCAGUAGGGAAUCUUCCGCAAUGGGCGAAAGCCUGACGGAGCAACGCCGCGUGAGUGAUGAAGGUCUUCGGAUCGUAAAACUCUGUUAUUAGGGAAGAACAUAUGUGUAAGUAACUGUGCACAUCUUGACGGUACCUAAUCAGAAAGCCACGGCUAACUACGUG